CCUACGGGUGGCAGCAGUGGGGAAUAUUGGGCAAUGGGCGCAAGCCUGACCCAGCAACGCCGCGUGAAGGAAGAAGGCUUUCGGGUUGUAAACUUCUUUUCUCAGGGACGAAGCAAGUUACGGUACCUGAGGAAUAAGCCACGGCUAACUACGUGCCAGCAGCCGCGGGAAUACGUAGGUGGCAAGCGUUAUCCGGAUUUACUGGGUGUAAGGGGCGUGUAGGCGGGGACGAAAGUCAGAUGUGAAAGCCACGGGCUCAAGCUGUGACCUGCAUUUGAUACUGUGUUUCUUGAGUACUGGGGAGGCAGACGGAAUGCCUAGUGUAGCGGUGAAAUGCGUAGAUAUUA
This 347-nucleotide ribosomal RNA is filed under the name uncultured bacterium. Its description in RNAcentral is "partial 16S ribosomal RNA". It matches the Rfam family "Bacterial small subunit ribosomal RNA", at positions 338 to 699 of the family's 1533-position model. The record is from RNAcentral.